Molecule: ribosomal RNA, 465 nt
Filed under: Vreelandella stevensii
Lineage: Bacteria; Pseudomonadati; Pseudomonadota; Gammaproteobacteria; Oceanospirillales; Halomonadaceae
Description: partial 16S ribosomal RNA
Rfam family: Bacterial small subunit ribosomal RNA
Source: RNAcentral
CCUACGGGAGGCUGCAGUGGGGAAUAUUGGACAAUGGGGGCAACCCUGAUCCAGCCAUGCCGCGUGUGUGAAGAAGGCCCUCGGGUUGUAAAGCACUUUCAGUGAGGAAGAACGCCUGGUGGUUAAUACCCAUCAGGAAAGACAUCACUCACAGAAGAAGCACCGGCUAACUCCGUGCCAGCAGCCGCGGUAAUACGGAAGGUGCGAGCGUUAAUCGGAAUUACUGGGCGUAAAGCGCGCGUAGGUGGCUUGAUAAGCCGGUUGUGUAAGCCCCGGGCUCAACCUGGGAACGGCAUCCGGAACUGUCAAGCUAGAGUGCAGGAGAGGAAGGUAGAAUUCCCGGUGUAGCGGUGAAAUGCGUAGAGAUCGGGAGGAAUACCAGUGGCGAAGGCGGCCUUCUGGACUGACACUGACACUGAGGUGCGAAAGCGUGGGUAGCAAACAGGAUUAGAUACCCGAGUAGUC